Molecule: long non-coding RNA, 770 nt
Organism: Megalobrama amblycephala (Wuchang bream)
Lineage: Eukaryota; Metazoa; Chordata; Actinopteri; Cypriniformes; Xenocyprididae
Exons: 2
Source: RefSeq, a predicted model, not a curated record
GCAUGCGGCCAAUGGGAAAGUGUCUCUACAGGGCGGUCUGCAGUUACUUUAAGGUGCACCUCUUGCACCGACCCAGUGAACGUAUUUUUGGAUGGCCUAUCCAGUUGCCUCAGGUGUUUGAAAUCUGCUUUAUAAAUAAAAGGACUAGCGCUAGAACUUGCACUAAAUGCUGGUGCUCACCGAGAUGUGUCCUCCGUGCCAGGACUGUGGGUAAUUGAAGGACGCAAAAGGUACACUUGAUGCAUCCUUCAAAAUGAGCCGAAUGAAGGAUACGAAACGAAAGGCUGCCUUCCAAGGAUCCUUCAAAUUGAGAUGACCUUCUGCACAUCUUGGUGACAUGGUAGCCGAGAUAUGUAGCCUUACUAGGACGCAGGCUUCCGUUUGAGAAGUACUCACAGUGUAGUUGCUCAUGCAAAAUUUUUUUAACACUUCCAAAUCCACAGCCGCAGAUGGUUGGGACCCCACCCAGCCCCUGUGCGUCUGUCCAUUGGAAAUGAAUGACUUCUGGUCCAUCAGCCAUUGUUUGUCGUGUGCAAGUGGAAAGAUGACUUUAGGGGUGCACAGAAAUUUCUACAUAUGCUACAAUGAUUUCAAUUUUUUUUUUUUUUUUAAAGAAAAAAAAAAAAACUCAAAUACUUAAAUAGUGUAAAAAUGUAUACCCUUUUUCUAUGACACUUGACAUUUAACUAAGGGACAUUGCAAUUUCUCUGGAUCCUCUUUGAGAUGUUUUUACUUCUUGAUUGGAAUUAAACUGAGACAAAUUGAUUUGA